RNAcentral lists this ribosomal RNA (1262 nucleotides) under human gut metagenome. RNAcentral's name for it is "bacterial LSU rRNA". It matches the Rfam family "Bacterial large subunit ribosomal RNA", at positions 1649 to 2925 of the family's 2925-position model. The record is from RNAcentral.
CAAACCGACACAGGUGGUCAAGGCGAGUAGCCUGAGGUGAGCGAGAGAACUGUUGCCAAGGAACUCGGCAAACUGACCCCGUACGUUAGCAAUAAGGGGUGCUCGAAAGAGCCGCAGUGAAUAGGCCCUAGCAACUGUUUAACUAAAACAUAGCUCUCUGCCAAGCCGCAAGGCGAAGUAUAGGGGGUGACACCUGCCCGGUGCUGGAAGGUCAAGGGGAUUUGUCAGCGCAAGCGAAGCAUUGAACCGAAGCCCCAGUGAACGGCGGCCGUAACUAUAACGGUCCUAAGGUAGCGAAAUUCCUUGUCAGGUAAGUUCUGACCCGCACGAAAGGUGUAAUGAUUUGGGCACUGUCUCGGCAGCAGACUCGGUGAAAUCUUAGUACCUGUGAAGAUGCAGGUUACCCGCAACUAGACGGAAAGACCCCAUGGAGCUUUACUGCAGUCUGCUAUUGAGUUUCGGUUGGAUAUGCACAGGAUAGGUGGGAGACGAUGAGACGUGGAUUUCGGUCUACGAGGAGUCACUGUUGGGAUACCACUCUUAUUCAACUGGAAUUCUAACCUGAUAUCCGUGAUCCGGAUACAGGACCGUGGCAGAUGGGCAGUUUGACUGGGGCGGUCGCCUCCCAAAGAGUAACGGAGGCGCACAAAGGUACUCUCAGAAUGGUUGGAAAUCAUUCAGCGAGCGCAAACGCAGAAGAGUGCUUGACUGCGAGACAUACAGGUCGAGCAGGGACGAAAGUCGGUGUUAGUGAUCCGGCGGUGCAGAAUGGAAUGGCCGUCGCUUAACGGAUAAAAGCUACCCUGGGGAUAACAGGCUGAUCUCGCCCAAGAGUUCACAUCGACGGCGAGGUUUGGCACCUCGAUGUCGGCUCAUCGCAUCCUGGAGGUGAAUUCGCUUCCAAGGGUUGGGCUGUCCGCCCAUUAAAGCGGUACGCGAGCUGGGUUCAGAACGUCGUGAGACAGUUCGGUCCCUAUCUGUUGUGGGCGUUGGAAAUUUGAGGAGAGCUGCCCCUAGUACGAGAGGACCAGGGUGGACGUACCUACGGUGCACCAGUUGUCACGCCAGUGGCACAGCUGGAUAGCUGAGAACGGACCGGAUAAACGCUGAAGGCAUCUAAGCGUGAAACCGACUCCAAGAUUAGAUUUCCCAUUGUUUCAAACAAAUAAGACCCCUUGAAGACGACGAGGUUGAUAGGUCAGGGAUGUAAGUACAGUGAUGUAUUGAGUUGACUGAUACUAAUAGGUCGAAGGUUUAUUCAC